GACGAACGCUGGCGGUGUGCUUCACACAUGCAAGUCGAACGAGGUAGCAAUACCUAGUGGCGGACGGGUGAGUAACGCGUGGGAAUCUGCCUUUAGAUGGGGGAUAACGGGUCGAAAGACUCGCUAAUACCGCAUAUGACGAAAGUUGAAAGGAGUAAUCCGUCUAAAGAUGAGCCCGCGUCCGAUUAGCUAGUUGGUAGAGUAAAAGCCUACCAAGGCGACGAUCGGUAGCUGGUCUGAGAGGAUGAUCAGCCACAAUGGGACUGAGACACGGCCCGAUACUCCUACGGGAGGCAGCAGUGGGAAUUUUACGCAAUGGCGAAAGCCUGACGUAGCGACACCGCGUGAGCGAAGAAGCCCUUGGGUGUAAAGCUCUGUCAGCUGGAACGAAAAAUGACGGUACCAGCAGAGAGCAUCGGCUAACUACGUGCCAGCAGCCGCGGU
Molecule: ribosomal RNA, 444 nt
Filed under: uncultured bacterium
Lineage: Bacteria
Description: bacterial SSU rRNA
Rfam family: Bacterial small subunit ribosomal RNA
Source: RNAcentral